RNAcentral lists this ribosomal RNA (721 nucleotides) under Bacillus sp. 17874. Its description in RNAcentral is "bacterial SSU rRNA". It matches the Rfam family "Bacterial small subunit ribosomal RNA", at positions 61 to 762 of the family's 1533-position model. The record is from RNAcentral. Lineage: Bacteria; Bacillati; Bacillota; Bacilli; Caryophanales; Bacillaceae.
GUCGAGCGAACCGAUUAAGAGCUUGCUCUUAAGAAGUUAGCGGCGGACGGGUGAGUAACACGUAGGUAACCUGCCUAUAAGACUGGGAUAACUCCGGGAAACCGGGGCUAAUACCGGAUAACAUUUUGCACCGCAUGGUGCAAAAUUGAAAGGCGGCUUCGGCUGUCACUUAUAGAUGGACCUGCGGCGCAUUAGCUAGUUGGUGAGGUAACGGCUCACCAAGGCGACGAUGCGUAGCCGACCUGAGAGGGUGAUCGGCCACACUGGGACUGAGACACGGCCCAGACUCCUACGGGAGGCAGCAGUAGGGAAUCUUCCGCAAUGGACGAAAGUCUGACGGAGCAACGCCGCGUGAGCGAUGAAGGCCUUCGGGUCGUAAAGCUCUGUUGUUAGGGAAGAACAAGUGCUAGUUGAAUAAGCUGGCACCUUGACGGUACCUAACCAGAAAGCCACGGCUAACUACGUGCCAGCAGCCGCGGUAAUACGUAGGUGGCAAGCGUUAUCCGGAAUUAUUGGGCGUAAAGCGCGCGCAGGUGGUUUCUUAAGUCUGAUGUGAAAGCCCACGGCUCAACCGUGGAGGGUCAUUGGAAACUGGGAGACUUGAGUGCAGAAGAGGAAAGUGGAAUUCCAUGUGUAGCGGUGAAAUGCGUAGAGAUAUGGAGGAACACCAGUGGCGAAGGCGACUUUCUGGUCUGUAACUGACACUGAGGCGCGAAAGCGU